RNAcentral lists this ribosomal RNA (440 nucleotides) under uncultured bacterium. RNAcentral describes it as "partial 16S ribosomal RNA". It matches the Rfam family "Bacterial small subunit ribosomal RNA", at positions 338 to 795 of the family's 1533-position model. The record is from RNAcentral.
CCUACGGGUGGCAGCAGUGGGGAAUAUUGCACAAUGGGGGAAACCCUGAUGCAGCGACGCCGCGUGAGUGAAGAAGUAUUUCGGUAUGUAAAGCUCUAUCUGCAGGGAAGAAAAUGACGGUACCUGACUAAGAAGCCCCGGCUAACUAAGUGACAGCAGCCGCGGUAAUACGUAGGGGGCAAGCGUUAUCCGGAUUUACUGGGUGUAAAGGGAGCGUAGACGGUGAUGCAAGUCAGAAGUGAAAGCACGGGGCUCAACUCCGGGACUGCUUUUGAAACUGUGUGACUGGAGUGGAGGAGAGGUAAGCGGAAUGCCUGGUGUAGCGGUGAAAUGCGUAGAUAUCAGGAAGAACACCAGUGGCGAAGGCGGCUUACUGGACUGUAACUGACGUUGAGGCUCGAAAGCGUGGGGAGCAAACAGGAUUAGAUACCCUAGUAGUC